Molecule: ribosomal RNA, 426 nt
Filed under: uncultured marine eukaryote
Lineage: Eukaryota
Description: bacterial SSU rRNA
Rfam family: Eukaryotic small subunit ribosomal RNA
Source: RNAcentral
AAAUCUUACCGGGUCCGGACACACUGAGGAUUGACAGGCAAAAUUAUUUAUAUGCUUAAUAUUUUUUUAUUAGGUAUUUUAUAUGCAAAUAUGCUAGUCCUUUCAUGAUUAUGUGAUAGGUGGUGCAUGGCCGUUCUUAGUUCGUGGAGUGAUCUGUCUGCUUAAUUGCGUUUCACCAAGGGCUUAUAAAAAACGUACGUUGCGGCGUCUCGAUCCCGCUUUUUACUAAGUGUGUGGUCUUUGCGUUUUGCGCGUACAAAUAGGCCCUGAAAGCAACGAACGUGACCGCAACCUCUUGUUGCCUUUAUUCCAAAUAGCGCGGUUUGGCGCGGGAUUUAUCCAACGCCUUAUUGUGCUAAAAAAGAGGCUUAGAAACUAGAGGGACCGCUGUAUCUUCUUUAAACCAGAGGAAGGUUGCGGCAAUAA